Molecule: long non-coding RNA, 704 nt
Organism: Myotis davidii
Lineage: Eukaryota; Metazoa; Chordata; Mammalia; Chiroptera; Vespertilionidae
Exons: 3
Source: RefSeq, a predicted model, not a curated record
GCUGGCGGGAAGGCUGCGCUGGGAGGGGCCCGGCGGGGGCCGGGCAGAGAUGGACCACGUGCCUCCCGAGCUGGGGCGGGGGAGCCCAGAGAAUUAGACCGGAGGGGUGGGAAGGGAGGGGCUUGUUGGUCCCAGCUCUAGGGGCCGGCGCAAGCAUCUGGGGUACAAGAUAGAAGCCGAGUUAAAGUACGUUCUUCUGUGUUGCCCCCUCUCUUCCAGGGCAUUACUUGCGCGCUCCGCUAGCUUUGCAGGAAGUGGAAGCUGCGCCUCGGCUUCUCGCCGGGUCGGAACACCCCCUUGGUCCUGGUCCUGGUCCUGGUGCUGGUCCUGGUCCCAUUACUUAGCUCCGUUACCAGGCAAGGGGUGCCUGCCUUCCGAGGGCCGGGCCUGGGGCCUGGGGCCUGGGCUGGCCAUGGUGACGCGUUCCGGAGGUGCUGCGGGAAGCGGAGGGACGGUGGGCGGAAAAUGACGCGUUCGGCAGAUCUGAUUCAUCCCCUCUGACCAAGUCCCCGCAACAGUCUCCCAGCUACAACUGAUUGUCUCUGAUGAUUAAAUGACAAUGGAGCUUCGCUGCAGAAUACUCUUAAAAGAAGGGUGUGACCACAGUGACCUACUGAGAAAGAUGCAAAACAAACAGGAAAUAACCACAACGUGUAAUUUCAGGAAAAUAUAGUCGAUCAAUUAUUGGGGACUUCAUUUCUUCU